UCCCCGGUAGCUCAGCGGUAGAGCAACUGGCUGUUAACCGGUUGGUCGCCUGGUUCGAAUCCGGCCCGGGGAGCCA
Molecule: transfer RNA, 76 nt
Filed under: Mesorhizobium qingshengii
Lineage: Bacteria; Pseudomonadati; Pseudomonadota; Alphaproteobacteria; Hyphomicrobiales; Phyllobacteriaceae
Description: tRNA_Asn_GTT
Rfam family: tRNA
About the family: Transfer RNA (tRNA) molecules are approximately 80 nucleotides in length. Their secondary structure includes four short double-helical elements and three loops (D, anti-codon, and T loops).
Source: RNAcentral